UACGAAGGGUGCAAACGUUGCUCGGAAUCAUUGGGCGUAAAGCGCACGUAGGCGGCCUUGCAAGUCGGAUGUGAAAUCCCACGGCUCAACCGUGGACGUGCAUCCGAAACUGCUCGGCUCGAGUAUGGAAGAGGGUCGCGGAAUUCCCGGUGUAGAGGUGAAAUUCGUAGAUAUCGGGAGGAACACCAGUGGCGAAGGCGGCGACCUGGGCCAAUACUGACGCUGAGGCGCGAAAGCGUGGGGAGCAAACAGG
Molecule: ribosomal RNA, 253 nt
Filed under: uncultured bacterium
Lineage: Bacteria
Description: partial 16S ribosomal RNA
Rfam family: Bacterial small subunit ribosomal RNA
Source: RNAcentral